Molecule: small nuclear RNA, 119 nt
Filed under: Nelumbo nucifera (sacred lotus)
Lineage: Eukaryota; Viridiplantae; Streptophyta; Magnoliopsida; Proteales; Nelumbonaceae
Description: U5 spliceosomal RNA
Rfam family: U5 spliceosomal RNA
About the family: U5 RNA is a component of both types of known spliceosome. The precise function of this molecule is unknown, though it is known that the 5' loop is required for splice site selection and p220 binding, and that both the 3' stem-loop and the Sm site are important for Sm protein binding and cap methylation.
Source: Rfam by way of RNAcentral
AGCCGCGCGGUGAGCACAGAGCUAACUAUUCUUUCGCCUUUUACUAAAGAAUACCGUGUGCUCGCCGCUGAAAGCGGCAUACGCCAAUUUUUAGAGGGCUUUUUCCGUCAUCAGGAGAU